This 233-nucleotide ribosomal RNA is filed under the name uncultured Geobacter sp. RNAcentral describes it as "partial 16S ribosomal RNA". It matches the Rfam family "Bacterial small subunit ribosomal RNA", at positions 1153 to 1382 of the family's 1533-position model. Lineage: Bacteria; Pseudomonadati; Thermodesulfobacteriota; Desulfuromonadia; Geobacterales; Geobacteraceae. The record is from RNAcentral.
CCGUGUCCUAAACCGGGAGGAAGGUGGGGAUGACGUCAAGUCCUCAUGGCCCUUAUGUCCAGGGCUACACACGUGCUACAAUGGCCGGUACAAAGGGGCGCAAGACCGCGAGGUGGAGCAAAUCCCAAAAAACCGGUCUCAGUUCGGAUUGGAGUCUGCAACUCGACUCCAUGAAGUUGGAAUCGCUAGUAAUCGCGGAUCAGCAUGCCGCGGUGAAUACGUUCCCGGGCCUU